This 207-nucleotide ribosomal RNA is filed under the name Escherichia coli. RNAcentral's name for it is "partial 23S ribosomal RNA". It matches the Rfam family "Bacterial large subunit ribosomal RNA", at positions 2721 to 2925 of the family's 2925-position model. Lineage: Bacteria; Pseudomonadati; Pseudomonadota; Gammaproteobacteria; Enterobacterales; Enterobacteriaceae. The record is from RNAcentral.
UUGUCAUGCCAAUGGCACUGCCCGGUAGCUAAAUGCGGAAGAGAUAAGUGCUGAAAGCAUCUAAGCACGAAACUUGCCCCGAGAUGAGUUCUCCCUGACCCUUUAAGGGUCCUGAAGGAACGUUGAAGACGACGACGUUGAUAGGCCGGGUGUGUAAGCGCAGCGAUGCGUUGAGCUAACCGGUACUAAUGAACCGUGAGGCUUAAC